RNA transcript from Chenopodium quinoa (quinoa), 727 nucleotides. RefSeq lists it as uncharacterized. The transcript has 2 exons. NCBI's taxonomy places the organism in Eukaryota, Viridiplantae, Streptophyta, Magnoliopsida, Caryophyllales, Amaranthaceae. The record is from RefSeq and is a predicted model, not a curated record.
CCUGUUCGAUUUUGUUCGAUUUCCUGUUUGAUUUCGCUUGGUUUUUGUUCGUUUUCAUUUGUGAUUUUUGUUCAAUGGCAAAAACCUUAUGUUCCUGGGUUACUUGAUGAAGUGAGAAUAGGUCAGAAUGUUGUUGUCAUUUCUUGUAAAUUGAAAUUGUGAUUAUCUGUGGAUACUACAUUCAGAAAUGGAGAGGCAACAAUAAAAGCCUUUGUUUCUGUUAGUUUGUCUCUUGGAGACCAGCCGCUUGCUGCUCAAUUUCAGGAAAUUCCUGCAGAGCUUCGGAUGUCAGAAGCUGAGAGGGUUGGAUAUGAACUUUUGAAAUCAACUGUGGCGGACAAAAUUCCAAGUGAUUUGGAAGGCAUGGAAAGUACUCUGGAGAGGUUGCUGGCUUUAAUUGCAAUGGACCAAAGCAAACCUGAUUUAAAAUGGAUUAACGCAAUUCCUAUCAACAAGAACACAAUAAGUUAUGGCCUUUUAAUUUGAAGUUGAUUAGAAAGUGAAAUUAGCCUAACAGCCUUACCAAAAGAUGACCAUCCCUCAAGUAUGACCCCACCUGUAUUUGAAUUGACCCUACUACUACUGCUUGAAGUUAUGCUAUGCCUAAUAGUGGCAAAAGUUAUACAGUUUAUAAAGUAUAUAAUGUAUGAUAUUGGUGUUUGAUUCACUAAUGCCUAGUAAUGGCAAAAGUUAUACAAUUUAUAAAGUAAAUAAUGUAUGAUAUUGG